ACUAGCUCCGCUUCUGAAAAUUAUGUGAGUUCUUAAACCACACAUCAAGGCCAAUAAUUGAUUGCCUUUUGUUCAAACAUUUCAUGAAGAGGAUCAUACUUUUAUUAAAUUGAUAAUUUUACAAUUUUGUGAUCAUACUCGAAUAACAUGCACUUUAGUAUGAUUAAUUUUGACAUGGACCUCAAUUUUCAUUACCAUAUUGUUACUGGAAUGAUUUCUUUUUUUUUUUUUUGGGUUGAUUAUACAGUCACUAUAAAUCUGCAGUUGGGGAGUGCUUCAAUGGUGGAUUGGGCUGAAAUUUCGAUAGCAAGUUCUGGAUGUAAUUUUUCGUUCCGAAUUGUUGGAGGAUUAAGAUAAGAUUUGGAGGGUGAGAUAUAGCUUGCAUGUGCAAAGUAACUCUGGUUUUGAAAACUUUUCAUGUUUUUGGUUCACAUUUAUAUGCUGUGGUGCUUGAUUGUUUUGACUUAAAUGUAAG
This 475-nucleotide long non-coding RNA is filed under the name Arachis ipaensis. RNAcentral's name for it is "long non-coding RNA (AIPA_LNC000287)". The record is from RNAcentral. Lineage: Eukaryota; Viridiplantae; Streptophyta; Magnoliopsida; Fabales; Fabaceae.